GAGCGUGACUACUCCUGGUGCUUUAUGCCUCUGUAUAUUGCAUAAGACAGUUUUAUAUACCUAUCGAAUUUUGAAGAACGAUAGAGGAUAUUUCAUGUUUCAGACUGGAUCUAGCUUUAAAGAAAUAUACUUCAAAAGCCUUAUGGAUUUAAUUGCUCACUAUGGAAAGCCAGGACAAGGUCUUGUGACUCAAUUGUGCCAGCCUCUGAAGAAAGUCAAAGCUAAGUUGAGCAAACAAGAGGAUAAUGAUUGUGAAGAAAUUGACGAUUCUGAAUAUGUAGAAGUGCUCCCUUCCUGAAAAUAACUGAACUCAUCCGAUUGA
Long non-coding RNA from Callorhinchus milii (elephant shark), 322 nucleotides. RefSeq lists it as uncharacterized. The record is from RefSeq and is a predicted model, not a curated record. The transcript has 4 exons. Lineage: Eukaryota; Metazoa; Chordata; Chondrichthyes; Chimaeriformes; Callorhinchidae.